RNAcentral lists this ribosomal RNA (252 nucleotides) under uncultured bacterium. RNAcentral describes it as "partial 16S ribosomal RNA". It matches the Rfam family "Bacterial small subunit ribosomal RNA", at positions 524 to 776 of the family's 1533-position model. The record is from RNAcentral.
UACGUAGGGGGCAAGCGUUGUCCGGAAUCAUUGGGCGUAAAGCGCGUGUAGGCGGUUCAGUAAGUCUGCUGUGAAAGUCCAGGGCUCAACCCUGGGAUGCCGGUGAUACUGCUGGACUAGAGUGCGGAAGAGGCGAGUGGAAUUCCCGGUGUAGCGGUGAAAUGCGCAGAUAUCGGGAGGAACACCAAUUGCGAAGGCAGCUCGCUGGGACGUUACUGACGCUGAGACGCGAAAGCGUGGGGAGCAAACAGG